RNAcentral lists this ribosomal RNA (775 nucleotides) under uncultured Neocallimastigales. RNAcentral's name for it is "partial large subunit ribosomal RNA". It matches the Rfam family "Eukaryotic large subunit ribosomal RNA", at positions 26 to 616 of the family's 3401-position model. Lineage: Eukaryota; Fungi; Neocallimastigomycota; Neocallimastigomycetes; Neocallimastigales. The record is from RNAcentral.
CGCAUCUGUGCAUGCAGCAUAUCAAUAAGCGGAGGAAAAGAAACUAACAAGGAUUCCCCUAGUAACGGCGAGUGAAGCGGGAAGAGCUCAAAUUUGAAAUCUUAAAGGGUUUCCCUUUACGAAUUGUAGUUAAAGAAGUGUUUUCUGUUGAGGUUUUGGUAAAAGUUCUUUGGAAUAGGACAUCAUAGAGGGUGAGAAUCCCGUAUUUGACCUUUACUUUCAACUUUGUGAUACACUUUCAAAGAGUCGGAUUGUUUGGGAAUGCAGUCCAAAAUGGGUGGUAAAUUUCAUCUAAAGCUAAAUAUUGGCGAGAGACCGAUAGCGAACAAGUACCGUGAGGGAAAGAUGAAAAGAACUUUGAAAAGAGAGUUAAACAGUACGUGAAAUUGUCAAAAGGGAAGCGUUUGACACCAGUGUUGUUUUUCUGAAAAUCAAUUAAAGAACUGUUUAUGCUAAGUUGUUUAGACUUUAUCAGCUAAUCUGCUUAGUUUUGAGCUUUUCUUUAAUGCACUUUUCAGUUAACAAGUCAACAUCAAUUUCUUUUGCCUGUAAAAAAGCUUGAGGAAGGUGGCUUGAGAUUCGUCUUAAGUGUUUAUAGCCUCUUGCCUAUGCAGUCGGAGAGAUUGAGGUCUGCAGCGUAGAUCCUUCGGGGCUAAAUGCAUUUGUGCUAAGUUAUAGCAUUUUAUAGACAACUUGUUAACUAUGAUUUGUCUUGUAGCUUACUCGCUUAUGUUAUUUUACCUACGCUUAGGAUGUUGAGCGCAUGUCUCUCUCU